AAUAACGGUACUUGAGGAGGAAAGCCCCGGCUAACUACGUGCCAGCAGCCGCGGUAAUACGUAGGGGGCUAGCGUUAUCCGGAAUUACUGGGCGUAAAGGGUGCGUAGGUGGUAUUUUUAAGUCAGAAGUGAAAGGCUACGGCUCAACCGUAGUAAGCUUUUGAAACUAGAGAACUUGAGGUGCAGGAGAGGAGAGUAGAAUUCCUAGUGUAGCGGUGAAAUGCGUAGAUAUUAGGAGGAAUACCAGUAGCGAAGGCGGCUCUCUGGACUGUAAACUGAC
This 280-nucleotide ribosomal RNA is filed under the name uncultured Clostridium sp. Its description in RNAcentral is "partial 16S ribosomal RNA". It matches the Rfam family "Bacterial small subunit ribosomal RNA", at positions 468 to 744 of the family's 1533-position model. The record is from RNAcentral. Lineage: Bacteria; Bacillati; Bacillota; Clostridia; Eubacteriales; Clostridiaceae.